This 201-nucleotide long non-coding RNA is filed under the name Elaeis guineensis (African oil palm). Its description in RNAcentral is "long non-coding RNA (EGUI_LNC000376)". The record is from RNAcentral. Lineage: Eukaryota; Viridiplantae; Streptophyta; Magnoliopsida; Arecales; Arecaceae.
ACCCCGGUUAUCUAUCGAGAUGAAUUAUUAUACUGACGGACUUAAUCAUUCUACGAACGCUCGUGAUGGUUUUCUCAACCAAGCCAUAGCUGGCUACAAUCUCAUGUCCAACUCAUAUACACAGCUGUACGUCAGCUCACUUAUAGAUAAUUCUCUAACUGCCUAACAGACUCCUCUAACGAUCUAACAAAUUAUGCAACG